This 2610-nucleotide long non-coding RNA is filed under the name Oryzias sinensis (Chinese medaka). RNAcentral's name for it is "lncRNA (ENSOSIG00000020458.1)". Lineage: Eukaryota; Metazoa; Chordata; Actinopteri; Beloniformes; Adrianichthyidae. The record is from RNAcentral.
AUGAAGAAAGAAGCAACAAAGACGAGGACAAGGAAGCACAGAUUCCUGUCCAACCAAGAGAACAUCCACAAGAAGACAAUAAAAACCAAAAAAAGGCUCUCAAGUUUGGGAACAGCAAACCACGGAAAGAGAAGCGAGCUCCUUUGGUAUCCAGAGGUCCAGAAGGCAGUGACUGAAGGGAAAGAGGAUGUGGAUGCCAACAAGGAAGAGGUAAAGGAGAAGAUUUCCUCAUCAACCCUGAAGCUCCCACCGAGAAAUGAAGUUAACACUUAUGCUCUCACUGAUCAAACAUCCUGGAACAAUACGGUGGAAUCAGGUGUGAAGAUGCAACAGGAGACCGGAGUGGACUUAACACCAACAAAGCAAAAGCGCAGGGUCAAAGCUGCACCGGCGAAAAGUCGCAGCUCUAAACUGGAGCCAGAAAAACAGCCGUCCUGUGGUAAACAGCGGGCUGAAGUUCAUACUAAGGAAGUCAUGUCUGGGAAGCAUGAAGGACAACGUCGGGAGCCAAAGGCUAAGCCAGACAGUAAAAGCUCAACCAAAAGCGUAAAAAAAGCACCUCGAGAAAUCAAAGUGCAGUCAGCAAAUAAGCAGACGCUACCUAAAGCGAAGGAAGAUGAAGAAUCUGAAGCUAAAGCGAGACUCGGCACUAAACCAGUAGAACUUAAGGUCGUCAGUCCAGGCUUAGAAGAUAAGAAGAAAAAGAAGACUAAAGCGUCGCAUCAUGACGGGUUUUCCUCACAAAGCCCUAAAAGAACAGAGGUGCUUUCUGUCAGCGGGGACAAAUCCCCUCAAAGCCCUCAUCCUGCAGGUGCCGAGUCGCUCCCGGCUGAGGUGGACAGAAAAGAGGCUCAGAUUCUCAAGGAGCAGAAAUCGAGAUGGGAAGAGCAUUUUCAAGAUGCUGCGUCGCUUCUUCCCGCCAUGGGGAUGGCCGGCGCCGCUGCAGGGUUCCUCAGCGAGGCCAUGACCAAUGUGGUAAGUUUCCAUUCAGACAGUGACAAAGACACCCCCUCCCUGCCCAAAACGCCGCUCGGAGCCAAACGGUUCACGAGGCAGCAGGAAGUUCAGUCCAUCUCCUCCUCAGCCACACAUGUGAGCUCUAACAAAAUGGAGGAGAGCAUGACAGAAGAUGCUCCUGUGAGCUCUUUCAUAGGAGACGCUCAGGGGAAAGAAGAUGAAGAUGCUCCAGAAAGUUUAAGAAGUGAGGAUGAGGACAAGAAACGAAGGCAGACGGAGAACAGGGAGGGAGGUGACACGUGGAGCUCCACAGAGGCUGAAGAAGAGGGUAACCUGAAUGUGGGAAAGGAGGAAGAAGAUUGGAAGGAGAAAUCAAGCUCCAACGCUGACGAGGAAGAUGCUGGAAGUGAUGCAUCAGAAAAGGAGGAAGAAGAGAGCAGUAGGGAAAACAAAAAGACUCACUCAGAGGUAAGUGAAGGAGCAGAGGAGGAAGAAGAGUCUGAAGCUGAAGAGUUGAGUGAUGAAGGGCAGGAAGAGGAGGAGGAGGUAGGAGGUGAUGUGAGUGAAGAUGAAAAGGAGAGUUCAGACAGCAAGAGUGAAGAGGAAGAGGAAGGUGACACUGGUGGAUCCACUGAAAGUGAGGAAGAAAGUGAUCUUAGUGAGGAAGAGGAGGAACAAAAAGGUGAUGACUCCUCUGACAGUCAGAUGCAUGAAAUGGAGUCAGCAGAGGAGAGUCCAAGAGAGGAAGAUGACGAGGAAGAGAUUCGCUCAGCUGAAGAAGAGGCAGAGCAAACCAGUGACACGGAAAAUGAAGAAGAAGCUUCCAUAGAUGAUGAAGCAACUGAUGACAAAGAGGAAGAUGAAGAAUACUCCGGGGAGGAGGAAGAAGAAGAAAGUACAAUCGAUAAGGAAGAGGAGACCGAUGAGGGAAGGGAAGAAGAGGAACCUAAUGGUACCGAAGAAGAGGAGGAGGAGGAAAUGGAAAGUCUGGAGGAAGACGGUAAAAUCAAACAAACUGAAAGUGAGGAAGAGACAGAUGAAGAACACGACAAAGAGGGAAAGUCAGAUAAAGAAGGUAUGGAGAGUGAAGAGGAGGAAGGAGAGGAGGAAGAAGAUGAAAGUGUAGAAGAGGAGGAGGAGGAAGAUGAAGAGGAGGAGGAAGAAGUUGAGGAUGAAGAGGAGGAAGAAAAUGAAGAGGAGGGUGAAGAAGUUGGAAAGGAGGAGGAGGGAGAAGAGGAAGAAGUUGAGAAUGAAGAUGAAGAGGAGGAGGAGGAAGAAAAUGAAGAGGAGGAGGGUGAAGAAGUUGAAGAUGAAGAGGAGGAAGUGAAUGAAGAGGAAGAGGAGGGAGAAGAUGAAGAAGAGGAGGGUGAAGAAGUUGGAAAUGAAGAGGAGGAAGUAAAUGAAGAGGAAGAGGAGGGAGAAGAUGAAGAAGAGGAAGGAGUAGAAUUAGAAGAGGAGGAGAAAGAGGAAGAUGAAGUAGCAAAAACAGGAAAAGAUGAAGCACAGAAGCUUUCUUCAUUGGAUAGAAAAGCCAAACAGGAAGAAGCGCCCACGCCAGCGCCGAGGACGAAGCAGACGGCCGUGAAGAAGAAACAGGAAGACCCUCAGCAGUUCUGGAACGAUGUUCUGCCUCAAUACCUGGACAUUCAGUGA